RNAcentral lists this small RNA (28 nucleotides) under Bombyx mori (domestic silkworm). Its description in RNAcentral is "ovarian small RNA-15285". The record is from RNAcentral. Lineage: Eukaryota; Metazoa; Arthropoda; Insecta; Lepidoptera; Bombycidae.
GAAUACCAAUCAGUGCAUGAUUUCUCAA